UACAGAGGUCUCAAGCGUUGUUCGGAUUCAUUGGGCGUAAAGGGCGCGUAGGCGGCGGGGCAAGUCGGGUGUGAAAUCUCAGGGCUCAACCCUGAAACUGCACUCGAUACUGCUCUGCUUGAGGACUGGAGAGGAGACUGGAAUUCACGGUGUAGCAGUGAAAUGCGUAGAUAUCAGUCGGAACACCAGUGGCGAAGGCGGCUUCUUGGGCCAUUACUGACGCUGAGGCGCGAAAGCCAGGGGAGCGAACGGG
RNAcentral lists this ribosomal RNA (253 nucleotides) under uncultured bacterium. RNAcentral describes it as "partial 16S ribosomal RNA". It matches the Rfam family "Bacterial small subunit ribosomal RNA", at positions 524 to 776 of the family's 1533-position model. The record is from RNAcentral.